Molecule: ribosomal RNA, 812 nt
Filed under: uncultured Actinomycetes bacterium
Lineage: Bacteria; Bacillati; Actinomycetota; Actinomycetes
Description: bacterial SSU rRNA
Rfam family: Bacterial small subunit ribosomal RNA
Source: RNAcentral
UCUAGCAAUAGACAGUGGCGAACGGCGGAGUAAUACAUAAGCAACGUGCCCUGAAGACCGGGAUAGUCAUUGGAAACGAUGGGUAAUACCGGAUGUGGUCAUCACUCGGCAUCGAGAGAUGAUUAAAUGGUUUUUCGCUUCAGGAGCGGCUUAUGGCCUAUCAGGUAGUUGGUGGGGUAAUGGCCUACCAAGCCGACGACGGGUAGCGGGUCUGAGAGGAUGACCCGCUCGAGUGGGACUGAGACACGGCCCACACACCUACGGGUGGCAGCAGUUGGGAAUCUUGCACAAUGGGGGAAACCCUGAUGCAGCGACGCCGCGUGGAGGAUGACGGGUCUAGGCCUGUAAACUCCUUUUAAUGGGAAAGACUUAGGACGGUACCCAUUGAAUAAGGACCGGCUAACUACGUGCCAGCAGCCGCGGUAAGACGUAGGGUCCAAGCGUUGUCCGGAUUUACUGGGCGUAAAGAGCGCGUAGGCGGUCUGUUAAGUGUGAAGUGAAAUCUCCAGGGCUCAACCCGGAAACUGCUUCGCAUACUGGCAGACUGGAGGGAUGCAGAGGUUUGUGGAAUUCCUGGUGUAGCGGUGAAAUGCAUAGAUAUCAGGAGGAACACCCAUGGCGAAGGCAGCAAACUGGGCAUCAUCUGACGCUGAGGCGCGAAAGCGUGGGUAGCAAACAGGAUUAGAUACCCUGGUAGUCCACGCCCUAAACUAUGGAUACUAGGCGUAAGAGGUAUCGACCCCUCUUGUGCCGCAGCUAACGCAUUAAGUAUCCCGCCUGGGGAGUACGGCCGCAAGGUUGAAACUCAAAUG